This 812-nucleotide unclassified non-coding RNA is filed under the name Hevea brasiliensis (rubber tree). Lineage: Eukaryota; Viridiplantae; Streptophyta; Magnoliopsida; Malpighiales; Euphorbiaceae. The record is from RNAcentral.
GUGUAGCAGUCCACAUGCUUAACCUGUAAACAAUAAUCAACUUCAUGUUUUUAACUACAUUUCAUGUUUUGCAGGGGGAAUUCAAGAUACAACCUUCAGAAACACCAAGGUUUAGAAACUCGUUCAGACAUCUCAACACAGUGGGGACACACACAACAGUUUGUAUCAGGGCAACAUCCACAAUUCAUGCAGAAGUAUCUUUCAAGCAGUCAAAUAUAAUAGAAUGAGGUGGAUUAAAGUAAAUUUUUUAUUACAACCAAAGUACUAAUAUAAUAAUAUCAAGGGUGCUGAUCAUGGAUAUUAAAGGUGCAGUAAGCCACAAAAAGGUCCAGGAGUUUAGGUGCAACUGCAAGGCACAUGUGCACACCUCAGAGGGUCAGGUGCAAAAAUAGAAUGCAAGAAAAAUUCAAAACUAAGACCCAAUAUUCAUAACAUAUUCAAUAUAUUAGCAUUAAUUGAGCCAAUUGACCAAAGUUAACAAUCUUAAAGCAUCAACUCAAAUUUAACAAUCUAAGCCUGAGGAAAAAGCACAGAAAACAAACAUAGACUUGAACAAAAACAUCAAUCUUUUUCAUCACUUGUUCUAAUGACAAAAUGUUGAGAACUCUAAAACAUAGUGUUAUUAACAAUGACUAGUGUGAUCUUUAAAACUAUUUUCCCAGACUAUAACAAAAGUAGUGCGUAUACAGAUUUUUUUAGGACAAAUAUUUGUUAUAUUUUAAGACAAAAACUUGUAGUCUUUUCUUGUCUAGGCAAGAUGUUUGUUAGUAUUGUUGGAAAAGAGAGGGGAGAGAAGAGGAGGGAAGGUUGUG